UCGGUGGUGGGGGAGUAGCCGGCUACGCCCGGGUAAUACCGCAUACGUUCCUCUGGGGGAGUCCCUGGGGGAGGAAAGCUCCGGCGCACGGGGAGGGGUUCGCGGCCUAUCAGCUAGUUGGCGGGGUAAUGGCCCACCAAGGCGACGACGGGUAGCUGGUCUGAGAGGAUGGCCAGCCACAUUGGGACUGAGAGACGGCCCAG
RNAcentral lists this ribosomal RNA (203 nucleotides) under uncultured bacterium. Its description in RNAcentral is "partial 16S ribosomal RNA". It matches the Rfam family "Bacterial small subunit ribosomal RNA", at positions 131 to 334 of the family's 1533-position model. The record is from RNAcentral.